GAUGAACGCUGGCGGCGUGCUUAACACAUGCAAGUCGAACGAAGCGCUUGGAUGGAAUUCUUCGGAAGGAAGCUCGAGUGACUGAGUGCCGGACGGGUGAGUAACGCGUGGGUAACCUGCCUCAUACAGGGGGAUAACAGUUAGAAAUGACUGCUAAUACCGCAUAAGCACACGUGAUCGCAUGAUCGAGUGUGAAAAACUCCGGUGGUAUGAGAUGGACCCGCGUCUGAUUAGCUAGUUGGUGGGGUAAUGGCCCACCAAGGCGACGAUCAGUAGCCGGCCUGAGAGGGUGAACGGCCACAUUGGGACUGAGACACGGCCCAAACUCCUACGGGAGGCAGCAGUGGGGAAUAUAGCACAAUGGGGGAAACCCUGAUGCAGCGACGCCGCGUGAAGGAUGAAGUAUUUCGGUAUGUAAACUUCUAUCAGCAGGGAAGAAAAUGACGGUACCUGACUAAGAAGCCCCGGCUAACUACGUGCCAGCAGCCGCCGUAA
RNAcentral lists this ribosomal RNA (495 nucleotides) under uncultured bacterium. RNAcentral describes it as "partial 16S ribosomal RNA". It matches the Rfam family "Bacterial small subunit ribosomal RNA", at positions 28 to 523 of the family's 1533-position model. The record is from RNAcentral.